CAGACUUAUGACGCACUAUUUUUUUAUGAAAACGUUUAACAAUUAUGAUGUAGUUUUUGACUCAUUAUUUUAGUUUUAUUUGUUGAUUAAUGAAUAUUGUGUAAAAGUCUAUACGUGCCUUAAAGGCAAAAUAUUAAUUAUUGUUAGGAUAUCUAGUAAAUGAAUAAGAAAACAGGCCAAGUAAAAUGGUUUAACGAGAGUAAAGGUUUUGGAUUUAUCACACCAACCGAUGGGAGCAAAGACGUAUUUGUUCACUUUUCAGCAAUUUCGGGUGAAGGUUUUAAAACCCUAGCUGAAGGUCAACAAGUGGAAUUUGCUAUUCAAGAUAGCCCUCGCGGACCUGCGGCAUCAGAAGUUGUCGUUAUCUAAUUAAUAUCGUA
This 380-nucleotide small RNA is filed under the name uncultured Gilliamella sp. RNAcentral's name for it is "cspA thermoregulator". Lineage: Bacteria; Pseudomonadati; Pseudomonadota; Gammaproteobacteria; Orbales; Orbaceae. The record is from RNAcentral.